This 440-nucleotide ribosomal RNA is filed under the name uncultured bacterium. Its description in RNAcentral is "partial 16S ribosomal RNA". It matches the Rfam family "Bacterial small subunit ribosomal RNA", at positions 338 to 795 of the family's 1533-position model. The record is from RNAcentral.
CCUACGGGAGGCAGCAGUGGGGAAUAUUGGACAAUGGGGGAAACCCUGAUCCAGCGACGCCGCGUGCGUGAAGAAGUAUUUCGGUACGUAAAGCUCUAUCAGCAGGAAAGAAAAUGACGGUACCUGACUAAGAAGCCCCGGCUAACUCCGUGCCAGCAGCCGCGGUAAUACGUAGGGGGCAAGCGUUAUCCGGAUUUACUGGGUGUAAGGGGAGCGUAGACGGCAGCGCAAGUCUGGAGUGAAAUGCAGGGGCCCAACCCCGGAACUGCUCUGGAAACUGUGAAGCUGGAGGGCAGGAGAGGUAAGCGGAAUGUCUGGUGUAGCGGUGAAAUGCGUAGAGAUCAGGAGGAACACCGGCGGCGAAGGCGGCUUACUGGACUGUAACUGACGUUGAGGCUCGAAGGCGUGGGGAGCAAACAGGAUUAGAUACCCUUGUAGUC